UCCUUCUCCUGGGGCAAGGGAGGACCUCAAAGACCCCCGUGGGACCGAGGAGGACUGGGCCUGAGCCCCGGGCUUCAGCCGGCAGUCAGAAGGCUCCCCGCAGAGGCACAAGCCAUGUUGAUUUUACGGAGAAGGCUGCUCUGCACAUUUCACUGCUGAUUUAUUGGUUUUUAACUAGAUCCUUAUGCUGGCUAAAAAAGCCAUCUUGCACUUUGCAAGGCUCUGUUGACUGCUGCCGAAAAUUGACACAGGGGCUCCUCUUGUCUCCCUUUAGUCUCUCCCUAACCUCCCCCCUCCCCUCCGCCCCCCUACUGAAAGGGCCAAGGUGGAGGUGUGAUCAUGGAGUCCCUUCUCAGGAAGGAGCCUCAGCUGCAGCCUCCGGGGCCCCUGACCACCUGCCGUGUGUACUGGGGAAAUUGAUGGUGUGAGAAGAAAAGUGAUCAACCUUGAAGUCACAUAGCCAGAAAGUUCCAGAGAAGAGCUUCACAUCAGAGUGUAACAGGCUCCCAUGUCUUCACCGUGGCUCCUGCUUUCCCCUCCCUAGGGGUCACUCAUGCUCUGGGAUGAGGCUCUUGUUCCUGCUGACUUCCUGGUUUUUGUUUCAGAGAAGGCCAUGGCUGUACCAGGCCAGCCCUCCUGCCCUUCACUGCCAGCUGUGUAAGGACAGGGCUUCUGCUUUCCUCACCAACUGGCUUCAAGCUCUGACCCCAAAGUGAAACUUGCUCUUGCACUUCCAGACCUCCAGAACUGUGAGCAAUAAUCAGUUGUCUUUAAUAACCAGUCUGAAGCACUUUGCUAUGGCGGCUGGGAUGACCUCAGAGAAGAUGGUCUGGGACACAGAUGAGCUGGGUAUAUGAGCUACUUCAAGGCUGAGGGGUAUGGUAAGUGUUUUU
Molecule: long non-coding RNA, 893 nt
Organism: Dipodomys spectabilis (banner-tailed kangaroo rat)
Lineage: Eukaryota; Metazoa; Chordata; Mammalia; Rodentia; Heteromyidae
Exons: 3
Source: RefSeq, a predicted model, not a curated record